GACAGAGGAUGCAAGCGUUAUCCGGAAUGAUUGGGCGUAAAGCGUCUGUAGGUGGCUUUUUAAGUCCGCCGUCAAAUCCCAGGGCUCAACCCUGGACAGGCGGUGGAAACUACCAAGCUGGAGUACGGUAGGGGCAGAGGGAAUUUCCGGUGGAGCGGUGAAAUGCGUAGAUAUCAGGAGGAACACCGAUGGCGAAGGCAGGUCUCUGGGCUGACACUGACGCUCAUGCACGAAAGCGUGGGGAGCAAACAGG
This 253-nucleotide ribosomal RNA is filed under the name uncultured bacterium. Its description in RNAcentral is "partial 16S ribosomal RNA". It matches the Rfam family "Bacterial small subunit ribosomal RNA", at positions 524 to 776 of the family's 1533-position model. The record is from RNAcentral.